UCAAAGUGGUCACCCAUCCGCACACUGACUGCAGCCAAUUAUGAUUGACUUUAGUGAUCAGCUGGGAACCGCGUUUGAACGAUCACUCUACUGCGGGACCAAACUCAAAAGUUGAAAAAGAUGCAGAGGGCAAAAGCGAGGUGCAUAGAUCCUCUUAACCAUCACCAUCAAAUCAUAUCAAAAAUUGAAGAAAAAAAAAUAAGGGCACUCUUUCUUUAUUUGAUUUCUUGAAACAUCUAGUAUCUGCACAGUAUUUAUAACUCGAUGUUAUUUACAGCGAAGAUUUGACUUUGCUAUUAUAUAUUCUUUCUCGUUCUCUUCAUAUCUUCCAAACGCUUCGCUGCUAAAGCGGCUAAAGGAAAUCUGAGGCUAUCAAUUGUUGAAUCGAGAUAUGGCUAUCAGACGUCGUGAGGCAGCCUUUGGUGCUUUAAUCUAUGUAGCUGCCGCAGGAGCUUCAGCAUUACUUAUGACAAGCGAGUAUGAAUCAGUGCAAAACAUUGGGAAAGGAUUAGCUGGCGUUGUAGGCAUUUCGUUUGUUGCCACUACUGCAGCAUACUUUUUACUCGGAGAUGAUCAACAAAAUGUUCCUAAAACCUCUGCUUCAAACAGAGAUGUCCCAGCACCAAAAAACAAUUGAAAUUUGAGGAUCCUGGUAGCCAACUGAAGUUUUGAGAAAAACCAUGAAUUGACUGACUUUUAUCAGAUAUAUUUAUCUUUUCUGCAGUUUUCAGUUUUGAAUAAUUUUUAAUUAAAAGCAUUUUGAAGUUAAA
Molecule: long non-coding RNA, 770 nt
Organism: Parasteatoda tepidariorum (common house spider)
Lineage: Eukaryota; Metazoa; Arthropoda; Arachnida; Araneae; Theridiidae
Source: RefSeq, a predicted model, not a curated record